GUCUCAUCUGCACAUUUACAGAGUAGCAUCAGAUCCAUGGAGAUGCUGCUCACUGAAAAAGUAACAUCCAUUGUGUUGGACCUCACCUAUGUGACCUUUCCAGGGCAUAGUCUGGAAGGACAUGGAAAAUUAAAAGAGAAGUUAAACACUGCACAAUUAAGUGAGAAGAACUUUGAAUCUCAGUGAAUAACUCAGGCAAGACAAUAGGAAGAGAAUGGAGAUAAGGAGAAGGUAUGAGCUACAAGAAGGAAGGUCAGCCCUCCACCAAACCAGCAAGAUAUUCCCUGUGGUGAAGAAUGGCUGAUGAAUUUCAGCACAAAGCUAUCUAAUGUUCAGUUUCAAGUUGCUAUCUACAUGAUGCUAUGCCAUCAUCCCUCCAUUACUGCAAAGCUUCAGUAAAAGAGAAAAAGAAAGUUAACAGCAGAAAUGAGGAGCAAUAUUUAGGAAGCAUAACGGGGCAUAAAGACAUGUAAACUCUACAAAAUUACACAGGGCUUAGGAGGAGAACUCAGCUUCCAGUUUGAUGAUGAAAUAUUAGUUAAACACAUCAUCCCCAAAGGGAUUUAUUUGCAUCUUCUAUGAACGUUGAUGGAAACAGUCUCAGUUUAUCAGCAAGAUGGCUGAGGAUGCACUUACCUAAAUGAGCAAUGAAGAUUCAUCUGCUACAACUGAGCUGUAUUUGCAUAGGCUAACUUAUUGAGAAGGAAAAGUUAGGUUUCAGUAUUAUAUAAAAUGUGUUUGUUUUGUUUGUUUGUUUGUUUUUCGGACAGGGUCUGGGU
RNAcentral lists this long non-coding RNA (779 nucleotides) under Pan troglodytes (chimpanzee). RNAcentral describes it as "long non-coding RNA NONPTRT007258". The record is from RNAcentral. Lineage: Eukaryota; Metazoa; Chordata; Mammalia; Primates; Hominidae.